This 449-nucleotide ribosomal RNA is filed under the name uncultured bacterium. Its description in RNAcentral is "bacterial SSU rRNA". It matches the Rfam family "Bacterial small subunit ribosomal RNA", at positions 328 to 793 of the family's 1533-position model. The record is from RNAcentral.
GUCCCAGACUCCUACGGGAGGCAGCAGUGGGGAAUAUUGCACAAUGGGGGAAACCCUGAUGCAGCGACGCCGCGUGAGUGAAGAAGUAUUUCGGUAUGUAAAGCUCUAUCAGCAGGGAAGAAAAUGACGGUACCUGACCAAGAAGCCCCGGCUAACUACGUGCCAGCAGCCGCGGUAAUACGUAGGGGGCAAGCGUUAUCCGGAUUUACUGGGUGUAAAGGGAGCGUAGACGGUUGUGCAAGUCAGAAGUGAAAGCCCGGGGCGCAACCCCGCGGACUGCUUUUGAAACUGGCAGGCUGGAGUACAGGAGAGGUAAGCGGAAUUCCUAGUGUAGCGGUGAAAUGCGUAGAUAUUAGGAGGAACACCAGUGGCGAAGGCGGCUUACUGGACUGUAACUGACACUGAGGCACGAAAGCGUGGGGAGCAAACAGGAUUAGAUACCCUUGUAA